UACCAGACUCCUACGGGAGGCAGCAGUGGGGAAUAUUGCACAAUGGGCGAAAGCCUGAUGCAGCAACGCCGCGUGAGCGAAGAAGGUCUUCGGAUUGUAAAGCUCUGUCCUAGGGGAAGAAGAAAAUGACGGUACCCUUGGAGGAAGCCCCGGCUAACUACGUGCCAGCAGCCGCGGUAAUACGUAGGGGGCAAGCGUUAUCCGGAAUUAUUGGGCGUAAAGAGUGCGUAGGUGGUUACCUAAGCAGGGGGUGAAAGGCAAUGGCUCAACCAUUGUUAGCCCUCUGAACUGGGUUACUUGAGUGCAGGAGAGGAAAGCGGAAUUCCUAGUGUAGCGGUGAAAUGCGUAGAUAUUAGGAGGAACACCAGUGGCGAAGGCGGCUUUCUGGACUGAAACUGACACUGAGGCACGAAAGUGUGGGGAGCAAACAGGAUUAGAUACCCUUGUA
RNAcentral lists this ribosomal RNA (448 nucleotides) under uncultured bacterium. RNAcentral describes it as "bacterial SSU rRNA". It matches the Rfam family "Bacterial small subunit ribosomal RNA", at positions 329 to 792 of the family's 1533-position model. The record is from RNAcentral.